UAAAAGGAUAGAGGUGUCUUUCAGGUUAGUUUGUCAGUUGCAUUCAGAAUUGGAGGUUAGUUUCGAUAAUGAACAUUGUGAGAUGAUGACAUUUCAUCUUGAGGAAGAGUGGUGCUUCAAAAGUUUUCAAUUUGAACCAAGCAGCAAAUUUGCUUGAUAUUCAAUCAGAUGGUAAAAUAAUGAGAUGAUGAUAAUAUUAGAAUUAUAUCAAAUGUUCUAAUUUUGUCACAUACGUCUGCCAGAAUUACCCUGACAUGAAAUUUAGAUGUAGAUAUGGUGUGUGGG
Molecule: unclassified non-coding RNA, 285 nt
Filed under: Hevea brasiliensis (rubber tree)
Lineage: Eukaryota; Viridiplantae; Streptophyta; Magnoliopsida; Malpighiales; Euphorbiaceae
Source: RNAcentral